UGCCUCCACCCCCAAACCACCCCCUAGCCUUUGAGUCAACCACUGAGUCACCGGUGAGCAAUCCCUGUGGUUGCCCGGAGCAUCAUCCCACUAAGUCCUCAUAAUCACCAGGCAUGAUUGUGAGAUCAUCACAGUGACUUGGUGCGCCCCUGGAGGUAGGAAGGCAGCUGAAGAGGGGAGAGAGACACCCUCCCCACCCCCAUAUGAGGAUGGUCUGUGAUGAUAUGCAUGCAGGGGAAGGGACUUAUCCAAGGUCCCUGAUAGGAGUCAUUGGGAAAUUCAGCAGCUAAUGAAGAUGGCCCUGUUCUGUCAGGUCCCUACUGGAAUAUUUAAAAUUCUGUUUUUCAUACUUAUCAGCUAAAAGAAUUACAGAAAUAUAUUUCUGGAUCCUGUGGGGAAUAAGAGCAGAAAUAUACAAAGCUUCUUCUUUCAAGACGGAUCCCAGCAGCCCAAGUGAAUGUCACAGUUGUGUUAAAGACUAUUGAUUCCAGCAGGUUCUGGGCUGGGUCUCAGCUUCCCAGGACUGUUCCAGGCUGACCUCCUUUCCCUGGUUCCAUCUUUUUUUGGGACUUCUGUGGGCCUUCAUUCAGCAUGUGGCUUGCGGGUGUCCAGGUCUGCAGGCAUACACACCUCUCCUGAUCUGAAUCAGAGAACAAAAGAUAAAGGAUGGAGGACAAUGGCCUCUUCACUUUUGCUUUCUCUCUUCUUUGCGUUUUACUUUGUGUUUCCAACAGCCAAUGGAAGGCUGUUCUAUUUAGAGUAAAUGACUCAGACUUGGUACAUCUCGAAUCGUAUGUCAGAGCACACUGUUGCCCCUCAAAGCUCAGGAAAGGCUGCAUACUCUAUCUCCCUCUUGAUGGUUUCCUCGUAUUUACAUGUUAAAGACCAUAGAUGUCCUGUAGUAAAGGGGUUAGCUUGCCUCUGUUUAUCCCAGUGAUUCUAGUGAAACUAAAAUGCUUGUUUCUGUGGGGCACAGUCCAGAUGUGUUGUCCACUUGGAUUGACCAAUCCUUUCAAUAAAGGUUUGAUGCAACCAUGUGAAUCGCAAGUUUUCAGCAUUUAGUUUUGUGACCUUGAGCAAAUCACCUAAUCAUUACAUGCCUCAGUUUCCUCAUCUGUAAAAGGGGAUAAUAAAAAGCAUCUACUUCAUAGGGUUGCAUUGAGGAUUAAGUGCUUUAAUUAAGGUUUUAGUACAGUUUCUGAAAUAUAAUGUAUUCUAUAUAUGGUAGCUAUUAUUAUGUUAGUAUCCAUUAUUAUUUGCUGAAAUCUUUUAACACUGUGCUGAGUGUUGGUACUGUCUUCUUAUCAUGUCAUAGAGUAUGGGGUAGUAUAAGAAUCCUACCUUAGGUCAAAGGUCACAAAGCCCUAUUGUUUUAUUCCCAAUAGUCUUACAGGGAAGAUGCAGUUGUCUUUGUCUUAUGGAGGAAGGAGGUGAAGCACACCCGAGCAGUAAAGAGGCCCCGGGUCACACAGCACAUACAGGAGUCAAACCCUGGCCUCUGGCUGCAAGCCUGCCAUCACCAAGCAUCUCUCUAAAGCUGCUUGUCAACCAGCCUCAGACAGGGGCCCACAGACACGAACCUCAUCUCAGCGUUGGUAGGAGGCACCUUCCACUUGGAUUCUCUUCAUGUGGUUAAGAGAGUCCUGAGUUCCAAUCCUAAGUUCACUCAUCUCUACCUCCUUGCCUAUGUGCAGGUUACUUAACUUUUCUGACCAUCAGUCUUCUCUGUUGUAACAUACGGAUGGUAACACUCAUUUCUUAUGCAUGCAGUGAUGCUUAAUGACAUAAUGUAGGUGGGGUUCAUGCACAAGGCCUGGUAUAUGAUGAGUGCUAGUAAAUCUUAGCUCCCAAUGA
Gorilla gorilla gorilla (western lowland gorilla) is the source of this 1854-nucleotide long non-coding RNA. RefSeq lists it as uncharacterized. NCBI's taxonomy places the organism in Eukaryota, Metazoa, Chordata, Mammalia, Primates, Hominidae. The transcript is spliced from 2 exons. The record is from RefSeq and is a predicted model, not a curated record.